AUAAACACAUUUAUUGUAUGAGGAGUUGGGUGCUGGGUGUUGGGUGUUGAUUAUAUUUUCUAUACUGUCCAACAUCAGCAUGAUCAAGUUUGGUAAUCCGACCCUUUUAUCCUUUUUUUUUUUUGUAUCAUUAAAGAAAUAUCCAUUCAAUAAAUCCUUUACUAUAAUUUCUACCGUCUAUGUCCGAUAUAAAUACUUAUG
This 201-nucleotide long non-coding RNA is filed under the name Mytilus galloprovincialis (Mediterranean mussel). Lineage: Eukaryota; Metazoa; Mollusca; Bivalvia; Mytilida; Mytilidae. The record is from RNAcentral.